UACGUAGGGGGCAAGCGUUGUCCGGAUUUACUGGGCGUAAAGCGCCUGUAGGCGGCCUGUCAAGUCCGGCCUGAAAGCCCCCCGCUCAACGGGGGAGGGUGGCUGGAAACUGGCAGGCUUGAGGGCGAGAGAGGAGGGUGGAAUUCCUGGUGUAGCGGUGAAAUGCGUAGAGAUCAGGAGGAACACCGAUGGCGAAGGCAGGUCUCUGGGCCACUACUGACGCUGAGAAGCGAAAGCAUGGGGAGCGAACAGG
This 253-nucleotide ribosomal RNA is filed under the name uncultured bacterium. RNAcentral's name for it is "partial 16S ribosomal RNA". It matches the Rfam family "Bacterial small subunit ribosomal RNA", at positions 524 to 776 of the family's 1533-position model. The record is from RNAcentral.